RNAcentral lists this ribosomal RNA (1446 nucleotides) under Enterococcus hirae. RNAcentral's name for it is "bacterial SSU rRNA". It matches the Rfam family "Bacterial small subunit ribosomal RNA". Lineage: Bacteria; Bacillati; Bacillota; Bacilli; Lactobacillales; Enterococcaceae. The record is from RNAcentral.
UGCUAAUACAUGCAAGUCGAACGCUUCUUUCACACCGGAGCUUGCUCCACCGGAAAAAGAGGAGUGGCGAACGGGUGAGUAACACGUGGGUAACCUGCCCAUCAGAAGGGGAUAACACUUGGAAACAGGUGCUAAUACCGUAUAACAAUCGAAACCGCAUGGUUUUGAUUUGAAAGGCGCUUUCGGGUGUCGCUGAUGGAUGGACCCGCGGUGCAUUAGCUAGUUGGUGAGGUAACGGCUCACCAAGGCGACGAUGCAUAGCCGACCUGAGAGGGUGAUCGGCCACAUUGGGACUGAGACACGGCCCAAACUCCUACGGGAGGCAGCAGUAGGGAAUCUUCGGCAAUGGACGAAAGUCUGACCGAGCAACGCCGCGUGAGUGAAGAAGGUUUUCGGAUCGUAAAACUCUGUUGUUAGAGAAGAACAAGGAUGAGAGUAACUGUUCAUCCCUUGACGGUAUCUAACCAGAAAGCCACGGCUAACUACGUGCCAGCAGCCGCGGUAAUACGUAGGUGGCAAGCGUUGUCCGGAUUUAUUGGGCGUAAAGCGAGCGCAGGCGGUUUCUUAAGUCUGAUGUGAAAGCCCCCGGCUCAACCGGGGAGGGUCAUUGGAAACUGGGAGACUUGAGUGCAGAAGAGGAGAGUGGAAUUCCAUGUGUAGCGGUGAAAUGCGUAGAUAUAUGGAGGAACACCAGUGGCGAAGGCGGCUCUCUGGUCUGUAACUGACGCUGAGGCUCGAAAGCGUGGGGAGCAAACAGGAUUAGAUACCCUGGUAGUCCACGCCGUAAACGAUGAGUGCUAAGUGUUGGAGGGUUUCCGCCCUUCAGUGCUGCAGCUAACGCAUUAAGCACUCCGCCUGGGGAGUACGACCGCAAGGUUGAAACUCAAAGGAAUUGACGGGGGCCCGCACAAGCGGUGGAGCAUGUGGUUUAAUUCGAAGCAACGCGAAGAACCUUACCAGGUCUUGACAUCCUUUGACCACUCUAGAGAUAGAGCUUCCCCUUCGGGGGCAAAGUGACAGGUGGUGCAUGGUUGUCGUCAGCUCGUGUCGUGAGAUGGUUGGGUUAAGUCCCGCAACGAGCGCAACCCUUAUUGUUAGUUGCCAUCAUUUAGUUGGGCACUCUAGCAAGACUGCCGGUGACAAACCGGAGGAAGGUGGGGAUGACGUCAAAUCAUCAUGCCCCUUAUGACCUGGGCUACACACGUGCUACAAUGGGAAGUACAACGAGUCGCAAAGUCGCGAGGCUAAGCUAAUCUCUUAAAGCUUCUCUCAGUUCGGAUUGUAGGCUGCAACUCGCCUACAUGAAGCCGGAAUCGCUAGUAAUCGCGGAUCAGCACGCCGCGGUGAAUACGUUCCCGGGCCUUGUACACACCGCCCGUCACACCACGAGAGUUUGUAACACCCGAAGUCGUAGAGGUAACCUUUGGAGCCAGCCGCCUAAGGUGG